Long non-coding RNA from Cyprinus carpio carpio, 791 nucleotides. The record is from Ensembl. Lineage: Eukaryota; Metazoa; Chordata; Actinopteri; Cypriniformes; Cyprinidae.
CGAGCCUACCAGAUUAAUACAGAUCUAGGGACACAGGCCAAAUGCUUUGAGGAGAACAAUGCACGAAUCGAUGUUGACUGGUGGAGUAAGAUUUUCGCCAUGAAGAUGCCAGAAGGAGGAAUGAGGUUCCCCAUCUUAGGGAAGUUGGUAAAGGCUCUUCUGUCAUUGUUCACUGGCCCUCUUGUCGAAGGAUCAUUUAACAUGAUGGAUGAUAUAAUUGAGAAAGACAGGGUUAGGCUGAACAUUGAGACUUAUGAAGGCUUAGCCAUUCUCAAGUCCCACAUGAAGGUAAUGGGCAAAACUGCAUCUAAAAUGCAAAUUACCCCUGCAUUAAGGAGAUUUUGCCUGUCUUCUUAUGAGACAUACCAAAAUCAUCUGAAGAAAAAGAAGGUGAACCUUGACAAGCAAAAGGAAAGGAAACUGAGGGAAGCUGUGAAGGUCCUCUCAGCAGUUAGGGUUAGAAAAGUAAAGAAAGGUUCCACCUCUUCUGUUUGUGCUAAAGCCUCCACCUCUUCCGCCCUUGGAGUUAAACAAAAAGCUGCUGCUACAGCCUCCACCCCUGCAGUUAAAGGCGCUGCUGCUACAGUCUCCACCUCCUCCACUGUUGGAGUUAAAGGCAAAACUGCUGCUACAGCCUCCACCCCCUCCACCUCUCCUGGAGCCACUCCUGCACAUGUAGCUAGUCAAACACUAAAACGGGUGUCAGGUGUAGCCAAGCUUCAGGAAUAUGGUUUCACAGCCAAAAAGCAGAAAAAGUGAAAAGCACUCUAGAGACAUUUGCACAAGAAAAG